CGUUGGUCACCUAGCAACGGCUAGCGGUGGACUUGGUCAGACCCGGAAGGGAGCAGCCACAAUCGUGAAUCUGUGUGAUAGGAGCGGCUAACGGAA
Molecule: signal recognition particle RNA, 96 nt
Filed under: Alcanivoracaceae bacterium
Lineage: Bacteria; Pseudomonadati; Pseudomonadota; Gammaproteobacteria; Oceanospirillales; Alcanivoracaceae
Description: signal recognition particle sRNA small type
Rfam family: Bacterial small signal recognition particle RNA
About the family: The signal recognition particle (SRP) is a universally conserved ribonucleoprotein involved in the co-translational targeting of proteins to membranes. Archaeal SRP consists of a 7S RNA and homologues of the eukaryotic SRP19 and SRP54 proteins.
Source: RNAcentral